UACGUAGGGUGCAAGCGUUGUCCGGAAUUAUUGGGCGUAAAGAGCUCGUAGGCGGUUUGUCGCGUCUGCUGUGAAAACCCGAGGCUCAACCUCGGGCCUGCAGUGGGUACAGGCAGACUAGAGUGCGGUAGGGGAGAUUGGAAUUCCUGGUGUAGCGGUGGAAUGCGCAGAUAUCAGGAGGAACACCGAUGGCGAAGGCAGAUCUCUGGGCCGUAACUGACGCUGAGGAGCGAAAGCAUGGGGAGCGAACAGG
This 253-nucleotide ribosomal RNA is filed under the name uncultured bacterium. Its description in RNAcentral is "partial 16S ribosomal RNA". It matches the Rfam family "Bacterial small subunit ribosomal RNA", at positions 524 to 776 of the family's 1533-position model. The record is from RNAcentral.